UACGUAGGGUGCGAGCGUUAAUCGGAUUUACUGGGCGUAAAGCGUGCGCAGGCGGUUUGUUAAGCGAGAUGUGAAAGCCCCGGGCUCAACCUGGGAACCGCAUUUCGAACUGGCAAACUAGAGUCUUGUAGAGGGGGGUAGAAUUCCAGGUGUAGCGGUGAAAUGCGUAGAUAUUGGAAGGAAUACCGGUGGCGAAGGCGGCCACCUGGUCAGAAACUGACGCUGAGGUACGAAAGCGUGGGGAGCAAACAGG
Molecule: ribosomal RNA, 253 nt
Filed under: uncultured microorganism
Description: partial 16S ribosomal RNA
Rfam family: Bacterial small subunit ribosomal RNA
Source: RNAcentral